Molecule: ribosomal RNA, 314 nt
Filed under: uncultured eukaryote
Lineage: Eukaryota
Description: partial 18S ribosomal RNA
Rfam family: Eukaryotic small subunit ribosomal RNA
Source: RNAcentral
CCCUUAGAUGUUCUGGGCCGCACGCGCGCUACACUGAGUGGAUCAGCGGGUCAGGUUGCGCGAAAGUGUUUCCUAAUCUUUAAAUCCGCUCGUGAUGGGGAUUGACGGUUGCAAUUUUCCGUCAUGAACGAGGAAUACCUUGUAAGCGCGGGUCAUCAUCCCGCGCUGAAUACGUCCCUGCCCUUUGUACACACCGCCCGUCGCUACUACUGAUUGAACUGGUUUUUGAAGUGUAGAGAUUGGCAGGCAUGUUUACGUGCAUUGCAAAGAACCACUCUGAAAAAAUCGUUCGAGAAGAAGUAAAAGUCGUAACA